This is a long non-coding RNA of Nicotiana tabacum (common tobacco), 1168 nucleotides long. RefSeq lists it as uncharacterized. NCBI's taxonomy places the organism in Eukaryota, Viridiplantae, Streptophyta, Magnoliopsida, Solanales, Solanaceae. The record is from RefSeq and is a predicted model, not a curated record.
AUGGACAGUCAUACAGAGACCCAAAACCUAAAUCCCUAACUAAAACACGCACUGUUCCUCUUCUCCAAAUCGAAUCCAGCCCUAUUUCAGCCUAAAUCCAUGGCGAGUGACUCCACACUCAUAACCACACGUUCCUCCUUCUCUCCUCAUCACCAUUUCUAACAGUUUCUGACACCGAAGAUUCUCCUUCCUUUCGCUUGAUCGAUUUUGAGAUAAGGCACGCGAUUGGAAGGUCCUAAAGACGAUUCGUUGGAUGAGUGUGAGACGUUGGAUUGUUUUCGUUCAAUCCGAGCCCCACAUUCAUCAGGGGUUCGUUUUUAUAAGGGAUCAGAUCCAAUUUUGAAGAGGGAGGAUAUUUUCAGAGGGACUUGGGAAAAUUUCAACAGAGAGGAUCUUGGGAAGAGAUUUGAGAGAUUUCUUUUCUCCAUUUUAUUUGUUCCUUCAAUUCUGAUACUAAAAAAGCAGAAAAAGAAUCAUUGAGUUUUUUUUUGCUGUUUCAUUUUCAUGGCGACCAUUGUUUAAAUCUUCUUUUUUUUUUUCAAAUCUCUAGAACUCAUCUUCUUCAUUUUGAUUCUAGAUUUUAGUUUAAAAAAUGGAAAUCAUUUGAAAAGUUUGAGGCUGUUGCUGCUCAAGGACUAAUUUAGCUGCUAUUUGCUUCCUCUUGGUCGAUUUCAAUGUUGUACUAAUUCAGUUUCUCAACUCCAGCUGCAAGUGAUGAUUGAAGUUGAGCUGUUUCUUUGAAUGCGCAUAUGUUGGAUCAUUUUGAUUUUUUUUCUCUGGUUGAAACCUCCUCAGAUUCUAAGAGCCAGAUGGAUGAUUCAUUCUCUCGUAAUUGAAAGAGUUCUUGCAUGAUUGCUAUAUUUGAAUGCAGAUUUGAAAUGGUUUUAAUUGUCCUUGCAAAUGGAUCAAGUCUGCUUUGUUUUCUUGUAAAUAUUUAGCUGCAGUUUGGUUUUUUUAGCAUCAGUUGGAUGAAAUGCUCGGAAGCUUCUUUACUGAUUUUCCUUUGCCUUAAUAUAGACACUAGUUGAAUCAUCUUGCUUUCUGUAAAUCUUAGUGUUGGUUAAGCUUUAAGCUAAAGGUUCUCAUGUUGCCUCAUCUAUUUGAGCUUCACGUCUAGAUGUUGACAGUUAAAUCAUUCUUAAGAAACUAAAUAUUUUGUAGUCUUCCA